This 69-nucleotide transfer RNA is filed under the name Loxodonta africana (African savanna elephant). It matches the Rfam family "tRNA". Rfam says of the family: Transfer RNA (tRNA) molecules are approximately 80 nucleotides in length. Their secondary structure includes four short double-helical elements and three loops (D, anti-codon, and T loops). Further hydrogen bonds mediate the characteristic L-shaped molecular structure. tRNAs have two regions of fundamental functional importance: the anti-codon, which is responsible for specific mRNA codon recognition, and the 3' end, to which the tRNAs corresponding amino acid is attached (by aminoacyl-tRNA synthetases). tRNAs cope with the degeneracy of the genetic code in two manners: having more than one tRNA (with a specific anti-codon) for a particular amino acid; and 'wobble' base-pairing, i.e. permitting non-standard base-pairing at the 3rd anti-codon position. The record is from Rfam by way of RNAcentral. Lineage: Eukaryota; Metazoa; Chordata; Mammalia; Proboscidea; Elephantidae.
GCAUUGGUGGCUCAGUGGUAGAAUUCUCACGUUCCAUGUGAGACUCGGGUUCGAUUCCUGGCCUGUGCA